Molecule: long non-coding RNA, 2434 nt
Filed under: Mus pahari (shrew mouse)
Lineage: Eukaryota; Metazoa; Chordata; Mammalia; Rodentia; Muridae
Description: lncRNA (MGP_PahariEiJ_G0006222.1)
Source: RNAcentral
AGAAGCAUCCAGACUGGCCCUGAAGCAAGAGUAAAUCUGGUAAGACGGAAGAAAGAACUGCCACGGAGAGACACCAGUUGAAAGAGGAGGAAUCCCAAGUCCUGUGGAUUCUGACCGACAGACCUGCGAUGCCUGGCUUGCUCUUCAUUGCUGCUUUGAACUCAGACUGAGUAAAGACCUCAAAGUAUUCUGCAAAGGCACCAAGAAUUUCUUCAGGCCAAGAUGUCAUCUCUCACCUGCUACUAAUGCACCUUUGCAAUUACAUCUUCUGCGGAUUUUGUGAUCUUUCAGAUGUACAGAGGUAGAGCCCAGAGGCUUACUGCCUAGCCUGGAGGGAGCCACUCAGCCACCCUGGGGAGUCCUGCUGGCCACCAACUUUCUUUGGAGCGCUCCUUCUACAACCACAGUCAGCCCAGGACCAUAUAGGCAGACUGUGCAAGAUUCCAGGGGCUUUUCCACUCCUGUGCACCAGGGGGCACCGGGAAGGAGGCAAGAGGCUCAGGAGGGGAUAUCUCAGCCUUCUUUUCCAUGGCACUCAGAGUGCUGGGACCUGGCUGGGAUUACACAGUGGGUUCUGCGGUGCGCUCAGUCCCUAGCUGCCUGGCAACUUCCGCUGCUUUCAAGGUCUAAUUUAGGAAUCUACGGAAAUGAGCAGAACACUGAGAGAGAGACACACCAGUGCAUUACAGAGGGACUCGCGGUCCACAGCCCACCGAAGCUGUUCCGAGCAGGGAUGCAGGGGGAAAUGCUCCGACAGGAUGUGUAUAGUUUAGGGUUCAGAGGGGUCUCUCCUGGCAAGAGAGACCAAACCUUAUAAUUAAGUAUCUCCGUUUCCUUUCAGAUAUCAACAGCAACAAUAACCACGUUCUCCGCACUGCCUAAACAGGACAAAUCCUGGGUUAAGCAGUUCCUGGUGGUCUUCACACACACACACACACACACACACACACACACACACACACAUGCAGAGAGGGAAAAAAAAAUCUGCCUGCAAGCAGGCCUCUCCAGCCUCCCAGCACCUCCCCCUCCCCCUUGCGCCCUCCCCUAGUCCCCCUCCUCAUUUGCAAUUAGGGGUAAUCUUUUGUUGCCUGGAAAGUGUAAAAAUCACCAGCUUUUCUUUUUGCAUGCAUAAUAUCCAUUUCCCCUCCAAGUGCGCUAUUUGGUUAGGGAAUUACAUCUAUUUACAAGAGUAGAUGUUGCACAAAGGUUGUGUUUAUGUGGAAAAUUAUAUCGGUGACACGGGCUGAUUGGCAUGUGGAGGCUGGGAGAGCAAGCAGAAGAGGCCUCCUCAUCAGCUUGGAAUAACAAAAUGAUUGUAUUUUCAGCAAAGCUAAUUGAUCACACACCUCGCUGGGCUAUCUGUUUACUCAAAGGCCAUCCAGGCCCUGGGAAGGUGGAAAGGAGAGACCAGCGGGCAGUGGUCACUACCAGACGGGGCCAGCCAAGGCUCUAGGGGUUGAGAUAGGAGGUAGAAUGAGUGGCCAGAGCAAACCUCUGGGUCCUGCAGUUGUGCGGAGAUGGGCAGAUUCAGUGUUCUCUGAAAAAAACAGGCCCAGACCCAACACUAGAAAUUUUGUCCUUAUAAAUAAAUAAAUAAAUAAAUAAAUAAAUAAAUAAAUAAAUUCCUGUGAGCAUCAAAGCUUCUGGGAAGGGAAAGGCAGGCCAGAGCAGGACCCAGAGCCACUGCCUAGAAAAGAUACAUUCAUUCCCUCCCCCUUGUCCAUUUGGGAAACCAACUCCCUUUCAAGCCGAUACUGAGCAGAUUGCAUUCGUCUGGUGGAGCAGAAGCUCCAGAACCCUGGCUCCACGUGUAUGUCCUGUCAUCCCAGUACACAUGGCAGAGUUGGGGAUCAGCUAUAGUGGGAUGCCACAGAUCGAGUACAACCAGCUUCCAAAUGUGCCCUGCAGAACAAAACCCCUCUCCAACCACCACGCAGACAGGGACUACCCUCAGGUCCGUGAUCUGCUUCCCUGAUGAAGAUGUGCUGAGACUUCCCCAAACUGACCAGCCUGGCUAGGAGCCCUAGGAGCUCCACAGCCCAAGACCUCUACAAAAGCAAGCAGAGUUCUAUUUCCUCCCUAGUGAAAACUCCAGUUGUGUGGGCAGAAAACAAAGCAAUCGAAUACACAAGCACUUGGGUGAAAAUGACCAGUGACAGUAAAAAUAACUGUUUGGGGACUAGUGUCAGGGCAGAUUCAUUGACCAGCACUUUGCAAAUGUGAAGGUCAUUUAGAAGCCACUGGUCAGAAACAUCACCACCACCUACCCACCCUACGAUGGGCUCACCUGGCUGUCUUGCAAACUUCCCAGUGGAUCCUGUGACUAGUUACUUUUACAGGGAUGUGCAAAGCACAGCUCCCAGCUUGUCGGGUUCUAACUCCGGUUUGGAAUCUUUCCAUUGCUGAUCAAUAUUAGACCUAGUAACUAUUUCCU